GGGGAUUUAGCUCAGUGGUAGAGCGCUUGCCUUGCAAGCGCAAAGCCCUGGGUUCGGUCCUCAGCUCCA
RNAcentral lists this transfer RNA (69 nucleotides) under Rattus norvegicus (Norway rat). It matches the Rfam family "tRNA". From Rfam's summary of the family: Transfer RNA (tRNA) molecules are approximately 80 nucleotides in length. Their secondary structure includes four short double-helical elements and three loops (D, anti-codon, and T loops). The record is from Rfam by way of RNAcentral. Lineage: Eukaryota; Metazoa; Chordata; Mammalia; Rodentia; Muridae.